This 75-nucleotide transfer RNA is filed under the name Atopobium minutum. RNAcentral's name for it is "tRNA-Val". It matches the Rfam family "tRNA". Rfam says of the family: Transfer RNA (tRNA) molecules are approximately 80 nucleotides in length. Their secondary structure includes four short double-helical elements and three loops (D, anti-codon, and T loops). RNAcentral also lists the same sequence under 3 other names. Lineage: Bacteria; Bacillati; Actinomycetota; Coriobacteriia; Coriobacteriales; Atopobiaceae. The record is from RNAcentral.
GGGCGAUUGGCUCAGGGGUAGAGCACUUCCUUCACACGGAAGGGGUCAUGCGUUCAAAUCGCAUAUCGCCCACCA